This is a long non-coding RNA of Malania oleifera, 392 nucleotides long. RefSeq lists it as uncharacterized. The record is from RefSeq and is a predicted model, not a curated record. The transcript is spliced from 2 exons. NCBI's taxonomy places the organism in Eukaryota, Viridiplantae, Streptophyta, Magnoliopsida, Santalales, Ximeniaceae.
GAACUAUAAAAGUGCACUCUUCUAUGCCAAAAAAUCAUCGUGUGAUACAUUAAGGACGAACAAUAAAAUUAGUAGUUGCAAUCAUGGAAAGAAAAUUCUUAGUCCUUAUGUUGCUCGUUGUCCUUCUAUUGGCUUCAGAGAAUAAUGUGGCACGCACUGAUGCAACUGAAGAGUGUCAUGCAAAGAGCAAAAGGUUCAAGGGUUUAUGUCUGGUUGAUAGAAAUUGUGCCGCAGUUUGCGAAUCUGAAGGUUUCAAAAGCGGCGAUUGUCAAGGGAUUCGACAUCGAUGCGUGUGUUUUAAACCUUGUUGAAAAAUGAACUAAAAAGCACUAAUAAGGCAUCAAGAGCACACAAUUGCCACCAAUAAAGAAUUAAUACUAUAUUUCUCCGUA